RNAcentral lists this transfer RNA (72 nucleotides) under Albula goreensis. It matches the Rfam family "tRNA". Rfam says of the family: Transfer RNA (tRNA) molecules are approximately 80 nucleotides in length. Their secondary structure includes four short double-helical elements and three loops (D, anti-codon, and T loops). Further hydrogen bonds mediate the characteristic L-shaped molecular structure. tRNAs have two regions of fundamental functional importance: the anti-codon, which is responsible for specific mRNA codon recognition, and the 3' end, to which the tRNAs corresponding amino acid is attached (by aminoacyl-tRNA synthetases). tRNAs cope with the degeneracy of the genetic code in two manners: having more than one tRNA (with a specific anti-codon) for a particular amino acid; and 'wobble' base-pairing, i.e. permitting non-standard base-pairing at the 3rd anti-codon position. Lineage: Eukaryota; Metazoa; Chordata; Actinopteri; Albuliformes; Albulidae. The record is from Rfam by way of RNAcentral.
UCCCUGGUGAUCUAGUGGUUAGGAUUCGGCGCUCUCACCACCACGGCCCAGGUUCGAUUCCUGGACAGGGAA